GCGACGCCGUGUGGGGGAAGAAGGCUUUCGGGUUGUAAACCCCUGUUGAGAGGGAAGAAUGGUCUACUGGCGAACAGUUAGUAGGCUUGACGGUACCUUUCGAGGAAGCCCCGGCUAACUACGUGCCAGCAGCCGCGGUAACACGUAGGGGGCGAGCGUUGCGCGGAAUUACUGGGCGUAAAGGGUGCGUAGGCGGCUUAGUAAGUCGGAGGUGAAAGCCCACGGCUCAACCGUGGAGGUGCUUUCGAAACUGCUAGGCUUGAGGCCAGGAGAGGCUGGCGGAAUUCCCGGUGUAGCGGUGAAAUGCGUAGAUACCGGGAGGAACACCGGCGGCGAAGGCGGCCAGCUGGCCUGGUACUGACGCUGAGGCACGAAAGCGUGGGGAGCGAACCGGAUUAGAUACCCGGGUAGUCCACGCUGUAAACGAUGGGUGCUGGGUGUCAGGGGCGAUAGUUCUUGGUGCCGAAGCUAACGCGAUAAGCACCCCGCCUGGGGAGUACGGA
Molecule: ribosomal RNA, 503 nt
Filed under: uncultured bacterium
Lineage: Bacteria
Description: bacterial SSU rRNA
Rfam family: Bacterial small subunit ribosomal RNA
Source: RNAcentral